GGCGGCAUAGCUCAGCUGGUUAGAGCAACUGAAUCAUAAUCAGUAGGUCCUUGGUUCAAAUCCGAGUGCCGCUACCA
RNAcentral lists this transfer RNA (77 nucleotides) under Candidatus Cloacimonadota bacterium. RNAcentral describes it as "tRNA-Met". It matches the Rfam family "tRNA". From Rfam's summary of the family: Transfer RNA (tRNA) molecules are approximately 80 nucleotides in length. Lineage: Bacteria; Pseudomonadati; Candidatus Cloacimonadota. The record is from RNAcentral.